GACGAACGCUGGCGGCGUGCUUAACACAUGCAAGUCGAACGAUGAAGCCGGAGCUUGCUCUGGUGAAUUAGUGGCGAACGGGUGAGUAACACGUGAGUAACCUGCCCUUGACUCUGGGAUAACUGCGGGAAACUGUAGCUAAUACCGGAUACGACCCUCGGAGGCAUCUCCCGGGGGUGGGAAGAAUUUCGGUCAAGGAUGGACUCGCGGCCUAUCAGCUAGGUGGUGAGGUAAAGGAUCACCAAGGCGACGCCGGGUAGCCGGCCUGAGAGGGUGACCGGCCACACUGGGAAUGAGACACGGCCCAGACUCCUACGGGAGGCAGCAGUGGGGAAUAUUGCACAAUGGGCGCAAGCCUGAUGCAGCAACGCCGCGUGAGGGAUGACGGCCUUCGGGUUGUAAACCUCUUUUAGCAGGGAAGAAGCGAAAGUGACGGUACCUGCAGAAAAAGCACCGGCUAACUACGUGCCAGCCGCCGCCGUAA
This 484-nucleotide ribosomal RNA is filed under the name uncultured bacterium. RNAcentral's name for it is "partial 16S ribosomal RNA". It matches the Rfam family "Bacterial small subunit ribosomal RNA", at positions 28 to 523 of the family's 1533-position model. The record is from RNAcentral.